GCGUGUGUGAUGAAGGUCUUCGGAUCGUAAAGCACUGUCGCGAGGGACGAAUAAGCCGUCGGCUAACAUCCGGCGGUGAUGACGGUACCUCGAGAGGAAGCACCGGCUAACUCUGUGCCAGCAGCCGCGGUAAUACAGAGGGUGCGAGCGUUGUUCGGAAUUAUUGGGCGUAAAGCGCGUGUAGGCGGCUUAGUAAGUCGGGUGUGAAAGCCCUCGGCUUAACCGAGGAAGUGCGCCCAAAACUGCUUGGCUUGAGUACCGGAGAGGGUGGCGGAAUUCCCGGUGUAGAGGUGAAAUUCGUAGAUAUCGGGAGGAACACCAGCGGCGAAGGCGGCCACCUGGACGGAUACUGACGCUGAGACGCGAAAGCGUGGGGAGCAAACAGGAUUAGAUACCCUGGUAGUCCACGCUGUAAACGAUGAGCGCUAGGUGUUGUGGGUGUUGACCCCCGCAGUGCCGCAGCUAACGCAUUAAGCGCUCCGCCUGGGAAGUACGGCCGCAAGGCUA
RNAcentral lists this ribosomal RNA (507 nucleotides) under uncultured Pseudomonadota bacterium. RNAcentral describes it as "bacterial SSU rRNA". It matches the Rfam family "Bacterial small subunit ribosomal RNA", at positions 399 to 896 of the family's 1533-position model. The record is from RNAcentral. Lineage: Bacteria; Pseudomonadati; Pseudomonadota.